RNAcentral lists this ribosomal RNA (308 nucleotides) under Staphylococcus epidermidis NIH051475. RNAcentral describes it as "partial 16S ribosomal RNA". It matches the Rfam family "Bacterial small subunit ribosomal RNA", at positions 1 to 296 of the family's 1533-position model. The record is from RNAcentral. RNAcentral also lists the same sequence under 1 other name. Lineage: Bacteria; Bacillati; Bacillota; Bacilli; Caryophanales; Staphylococcaceae.
UUUUUAUGGAGAGUUUGAUCCUGGCUCAGGAUGAACGCUGGCGGCGUGCCUAAUACAUGCAAGUCGAGCGAACAGACGAGGAGCUUGCUCCUCUGACGUUAGCGGCGGACGGGUGAGUAACACGUGGAUAACCUACCUAUAAGACUGGGAUAACUUCGGGAAACCGGAGCUAAUACCGGAUAAUAUAUUGAACCGCAUGGUUCAAUAGUGAAAGACGGUUUUGCUGUCACUUAUAGAUGGAUCCGCGCCGCAUUAGCUAGUUGGUAAGGUAACGGCUUACCAAGGCAACGAUGCGUAGCCGACCUGAG